Long non-coding RNA from Anolis carolinensis (green anole), 1591 nucleotides. The record is from Ensembl. Lineage: Eukaryota; Metazoa; Chordata; Lepidosauria; Squamata; Anolidae.
AUGUUAACCUCAGGUUUUUGUCGUGCCUUGGACUGCAAAAAGAUCCAACCAGUCCAUCCUCCAGAAAAUAAUGCUCGACUACUCACUGGAGGGAAGGAUAUUAGAGGCAAAGAUGAAGUACUUUGGCCACAUAAUGAGAAGACAGGAAAGCUUGGAGAAGGCAAUGAUGCUGGGGAAGGAAAUAAAAGGAAAAAAGGAAGAGGAGUCAACCAAGGGCAAGAUGGAUGGAUGGUAUCCUUGAAGUGACUGGCUUGACCUUGACGGAGCUGGGGGAGGCGACCGCAAACAGGGAGCUCUGGCGUGGACUGGUCUAUGAGCUCACGAAGAGUUAAAAGUGACUGAACAAAUAAACAACAAACAACACUUUGCCAAUUUCUGUGGUGUCAUGUAUUAUCUAUGUGACAUUUUUAUCCAAUUUUCUUUUAAAUCCAUUGCAUAUGUGUAUUUUUUGUUCCAAAUUACUUCCCAUUUUUCCCUUCCAAUAGUUCUUCCUAUAUUUUCUGUCCAUCUUCUUAUAUAAACCUUCCCUCCUUCCGACUCUGUUUCUACUCUAACAGUUUCAUAUAUAUUUUGGUUAUUAUUUUUCUUUCUGUUUGCAUAAUUUCAUCCCAGAAUGAUUCAUUCUCUAAAAAGCCUAUUUUUAAAAAUCUUUUUUGUAAUAUUUCUUCAUUUGCCAGUAUUGAUACCAGGAGAUAUUUUUGUUGAGACACCUCAUUUCCUGUUGUGUUUUCAUUAUAAACUCUCCUUCUUGCUUUACCAAUAAUUGCUUAUACUUAGGCAAACUGUUCCAUCCUAAUAUUCUCCUUUGGGUGGCUUCUAAAGGUUGGUGUUUUGUCAUAAAUUUUCUUUUAAUAUUUUUCCCAAAUUUAAAAUAUGGUAGAUCUCACAAAAUCAUUUUUCUCCCUUUUUGUCCCCCCAUACCUGUCCUCAAUUCUAUCCCUUCACAGAUAUAGGAAAGGAGAUACGUGGUUAAUCAGUACAACGUGCAAAAACGACUUUGGGAUUGUUGUUGACAAUAACUUGUGAACCAGCAAUGUGAUGCUUCAGCAGAGAAGGCAAGUGCUAUUAGCCUGCACUGAUAGAAGCACAGUUUCCAAGUCAAGGGAAGUAAUAUUCUCACUAUAUUGCGUGCUGAUCUGGCUUCAUCUGGAGUGCUGUGUUCAGUUCUGGGUGCCUCGUUAUAAGAAGGACAUAGAGUCAGCAUGGCAUAGUGGUUUGAAUGUUGAACUAUAACUGGAGAACAGGAUUCAAAUCUCCACUCAACCAUGGGUUUGUUCACAAGGGUUGCCACAGGGAAGAGGAGCAGGUUUAAUAGUUGGAUGUUACAAAAGGCUAGGUUUCAAUUGAACCUUAGAAGGAAUUUCUUGACAGUGAAAGCAGUUUAGAAAUGGAACCAUUUGCCAAGAGCAGCUUCAAAAAGAAGUUGGACAUCUACUGCCAAGAGAUGAUUUAGUUGGAGAAGCUGCACUGAGCACAAUGUUGUGCCUGAUGGCCCUUGAGACCCGUACUAACUAUCUAUGAGCCCCUUCCAAAUAUCACUGUGGCUUGAGAAUUUGGGAAAUUUACUUUUUAAUUACAGUUCCCAGAUUUC